Molecule: non-coding RNA, 161 nt
Filed under: Phenylobacterium parvum
Lineage: Bacteria; Pseudomonadati; Pseudomonadota; Alphaproteobacteria; Caulobacterales; Caulobacteraceae
Description: 6S / SsrS RNA
Rfam family: 6S / SsrS RNA
About the family: E. coli 6S RNA was the first non coding RNA to be sequenced, but its function was unknown until recently. It consists of 184 nucleotides that fold into an extended hairpin structure with a large single-stranded internal bulge.
Source: Rfam by way of RNAcentral
GUCUUGCUGCAGCUCGCGUCGAAGGCGACUAAUCCCAGCGACCUUAAUUCACUCGAAGGGAGCUGUCCCUGGCCGGGUCCGUGGACCCGGGCACAUGGCGCCCACCUGGUUAUCCAGGUCGAGGGGAUUGAACAGUCCUUCACGGUUUCCGCGGCGCCGCC